CAGUAACGGCGAGUGAAGCGGCAACAGCUCAAAUUUGAAAUCUGGCUCCUUCGGGGUCCGAAUUGUAAUUUGUAGAGAGUGCUUCGGGCGAGACCUCGGUCUAAGUCCAUUGGAACAUGGUGUCAUAGAGGGUGAGAAUCCCGUAUGCGACCGUGGCUCGAGCCCAUGUGAAGCCUCUUCGACGAGUCGAGUUGUUUGGGAAUGCAGCUCAAAACGGGUGGUAAAUUUCAUCUAAAGCUAAAUACUGGCUGGAGACCGAUAGCGCACAAGUAGAGUGAUCGAAAGAUGAAAAGCACUUUGGAAAGAGAGUCAAACAGUACGUGAAAUUGUUGAAAGGGAAGCGCUUGCAACCAGACCUGCCCGUAGGCGAUCAGCCGCUGUUCUCAGCGGUGCACUCGCUCUGCGAUCAGGCCAGCAUCGGUUUCGGCGGUCGGAUAAAGGCCUUGGGAAUGUAGCUUCCCUUCGGGGAAGUCUUAUAGCUCUCGGUGCAAUGCGGCCAGCCGGGACCGAGGACCGCGCUUCGGCUAGGAUGCUGGCGUAAUGGUUGUAAGCGACCCGUCUUGAAACACGGACCAAGGAGUCUAACAUCUAUGCGAGUGUUUGGGUGUCAAACCCAUACGCGGAAUGAAAGUGAACGGAGGUGAGAACCCUUAAGGGUGCAUCAUCGACCGAUCCAGAUGUCUUCGGAUGGAUUUGAGUAUGAGCAUAGCUGUUGGGACCCGAAAGAUGGUGAACUAUGCCUGAAUAGGGUGAAGCCAGAGGAAACUCUGGUGGAGGCUCGCAGCGGUUCUGACGUGCAAAUCGAUCGUCAAAUUUGGGUAUAGGGGCGAAAGACUAAUC
This 840-nucleotide ribosomal RNA is filed under the name Xanthoparmelia chlorochroa. RNAcentral describes it as "eukaryotic LSU rRNA". It matches the Rfam family "Eukaryotic large subunit ribosomal RNA", at positions 81 to 936 of the family's 3401-position model. RNAcentral also lists the same sequence under 1 other name. Lineage: Eukaryota; Fungi; Ascomycota; Lecanoromycetes; Lecanorales; Parmeliaceae. The record is from RNAcentral.